RNAcentral lists this long non-coding RNA (1239 nucleotides) under Heterocephalus glaber (naked mole-rat). RNAcentral describes it as "lncRNA (ENSHGLG00100035353.1)". Lineage: Eukaryota; Metazoa; Chordata; Mammalia; Rodentia; Bathyergidae. The record is from RNAcentral.
UGAUUCCAUAUGUGGAAUUCUUCCAGUGAUAUAUUUUAAUAACCUCAUUCUUUUUAGUAGUUUCUCAUCUGUCAUUUAUAUGUUACAGAUGAGUUUAAGUUGCAUGAAGGUGGCUAAUGUGGGUCUCAGAAAUUGGUAAGUGUGGACAGACAUCUGAUAUGUUACUGACUCACUCAGUAGCUUUUCUGUUGUAUCAAUUUGGAUGCUAGUGGUAAUGAUGAUGUCACCAUUGCCUACUUGGGAGAUAAUGAAAGCAAUCAUGGAUGCUGUUUUUACUGGGCAUAUCAUCUAAGAUGGGAGAGUCUUUGAUCUAAGAAUAAAGACUGAUUUGAAGAUAACCAAUUUGUGGUAGCUAGUUGUAGAAUUUCACAUCAGACUGCACUGUUGUCGUUUUAAAUGUGAUGUGGACCCAUUAGAAUUCACAGCAAAUCAUCUGGGCUACUUCAGGGUUGCCACACAAUACCUGAGAUAAUCAAUUUGAAAAGAGAAAAGAUUUAUUUUGACUCAUAGAUUUGGAGGGUUCAGUCAAUGGUUGGUUGGCCCUAUUGCUUUUGGGCCUGUGGUAAAGCAGUGUAUCAUGGUGAGGAGUGUGUGUUGGAUCACAGCUGCCUACCUCGUGGUGGCUGGGAAGCAAAAUGGAAAAAGGACUAGAAGAGAUUGAGGUCUCACAGUCCUCUUCAAGGAUGUGCUCCUGCUGACUACAGGCCUCCCAGAAGCCCCCACCUUUAACAUUUCUACCACCUCUUCAUUGUGCCGCUCUGGGGAACAAGCCUUCAACCCAUGGGCCUUGGGGACAUUCCAGAUGGAAAUAGUAGCACUGCCCAUGUGUUGGGCCUAGUCAGCAUUGACAGACCUUGUUUUGGCUGGUUUCACACAUGAAGCAUGUUGGAAUUGAACUUAAACACCCUUAUUCUGACUCCAUUUGUCUCAUUGGUGAAGAAAUGGGCUUGUUAACCACUUAUUUUUUCCUUUUUAGAAAGAUAAAUUGUUCAGUUGUACUUUGAUCAUUUUUAUAACUUUCACCUUGUUUCUUAGGGAACCCAUGUCUGGUUAGCCUCUCUUUUAUUAUGGAAGUAGGAGUAAAAAGACCAUUUUAGCAAAUAAUUCAGGGAGAACUUGGGACCAGAAGCUCUUGUUAUGUACAGAAAAGGAUAACCUCAAUGAACCCAAACUAAUUUUGUAUUAGCAGUUAUGGUAAAUUUAAUUUGUAAUAUUUUAUACAAAUUGUUUAGAAUGCUU